This is a long non-coding RNA of Cyprinus carpio carpio, 1812 nucleotides long. Lineage: Eukaryota; Metazoa; Chordata; Actinopteri; Cypriniformes; Cyprinidae. The record is from Ensembl.
CGAAUCAACAUUAGACGCAUUUAACUGCUUUCAGUUCAGUUACUGCAAAUAGCCAAUAAUAACUGUUUCUACUGUCCGCUAGGAACUGGGCAUAAUGUAUCAGGGUUGCAAUGAUUCCUUAUUCUUGAUAGUCAGUUUACACAAACGCUCGAUGAUCUGCAUUAUAUUCCCGUGGAUUAGCCUACAUUGUAUUUUAACUGAAAGACGUUAUGGAGAAACGGACAUCAGAAAAGGCCUUGAAUAAACAACGCAUUUAUCAUCUUCAUGGCAACGUAGAUUUUAAUACAGAGGAUAUUCAGCACUGGAAAGAGAGAUUACCACGUUCAAGGCUCAGAAACAUAAGGUGUGUCUUAUUUUGAAGGCUGCGUCCUCUGGAGGUUGCAUUCUCUGAAUGAUGCAUAUAUGGAGUGUCCUUAACCCAGAAUUAAAUGAAGAUUAAAAUAUUAAACAUUAAUUUCAUAAAACUAAAUGUAGAAAUCAAUUGAUGACGUAUGCAGCUUUCGAAUGUGACCUCUGGAGGGCACAGCCUUCUAAAUGUGGCACAGCUAUAGUAAGGACUUUUAAAUAGUCCAUGUGACAUCAGUGGUGUUUUAAUGAUGUCCUUACAACCUUGAACAACCUUGGGCCUUGAACAUGGUUGCUGUCUAGGCAGGGCCAGAAAGGUCUCGGAUUCCAUCCAAAAUAUCUUCAUUUGUAUUCCGAAGAUGAACAAAGGUCUUACGGGUUUGGAAUGUCAGGAGGGUGAGUAAUUAAUGACAGAAUUGUUAUUUUUGUAUGAAGUAUCCCUUUAAUUAUAGCAUUAGCAGAGGCUGUAACUCCACCUGUGUUUUUAUUAAACCAGAUAGUGCUGAUGUGUCAUUAGAACUGCAGGACAAAUGCAUACCAAUCUGUGAGGUGGAGACCAUAUGGUUCAUUUUUUAAUGAAAGCUUUUUAUAAUAAGAUUUUUAUAUUAGAGUGAUAACAAAACUCCUCCUACAGUUUCAUCAUUUGUAUCCACCAUUCCUUCCUUGUGAAAAAAAGAAAAGAAAAAAAGACUUGUUAUUCUAGGUUAUUUAGGUGAAAACCACUAAUAUGGCCCCCCCGCAGGGCUGUGUUAGUUUACUCAUUUUGUUUACGUUAUAUAGUAAUGAGUGUGUUUCAUGUCAGGACAAUAUUUUUUUUAUUACAUUUUCAGACGAUACAGCUAUACUGAGUUUAUUGAACAGCAAUACUUCUCCUUCGCAGUACUUUUUUAGAAGUUGCUAGAUUUGUAGGAUGGUGUGAUGAUAAUUCUUUGAUUUUAAAUGAAACAAAGACCGUUGAAAUGAUCUUUGACCCUAGAUCUGUGGGGGAUAAUAGUCCUGUAAUAAUACAUGGAAAAAUUAUUAAACAGGUUUGAUCGUAUAAAUACUUGGGUGUUUAUUUGGACAAUUCGUUAUGCUGGUCUUCUUACAUCAACAGUCUGUGCUCUAGAUUGCAGCAGAGGUUAUAUUUUUGUGACGGUUAACAGUAUUUGGGGUAAAUCAGAAGAUUUUAUUUCUGUUCUGUCAGUCUGUAUUUGAGAGUUUAAUAAGAUAUGAUAUUACUGCAUGGUAUAGAAACUUGACACAUUUUUUAUAUGAGAAUUUUAUUUUGUUACCCUCAUGGAGCCGUUCGAGGACUUUGAUGUGCCAAUCAAAUCACUACAAAAAUUAUUUUGUGCCAACUGCAGUUAAAUUAUUUAAUAGAGAUUUGCAAUAAUUAGAUGCUUUAUUGAUAUACUAUAGCUUUUAAUUUGAGUUUGUGUGAGUAUAUACAGUACAGGUCAAAAGUUUGGAAACAUUACUAUUUUU